RNAcentral lists this transfer RNA (83 nucleotides) under Candidatus Phytoplasma vitis. Its description in RNAcentral is "tRNA-Leu". It matches the Rfam family "tRNA". Rfam says of the family: Transfer RNA (tRNA) molecules are approximately 80 nucleotides in length. The record is from RNAcentral. Lineage: Bacteria; Bacillati; Mycoplasmatota; Mollicutes; Acholeplasmatales; Acholeplasmataceae. RNAcentral also lists the same sequence under 3 other names.
GCGGGUGUGGCGGAAUGGCAGACGCACUAGACUUAGGAUCUAGCGCUUUUAGCGUGCAGGUUCAAGUCCUGUCACCCGUACCA